CAUUUUGAGGAAGGAGAAGUCGUAACAAGGUUUCCGUAGGUGGACCUGCGGAAGGAUCAUUGUCGAUACCUGCCCAGCAGAACGACCCGUGAACUUGUAAUAACCUUCUGGGUUGGGGUGUCAUGCCCCCUCCCAAAAACGGUUGGGAGGGCACGAUGAAAGCUGCCCACCGCUCCUCGUGUGUGGCGGGUCAGUCUCCUCGUUCCCUUCCCGGUCGAACAAUGAACCCCGGCGCGGUCUGCGCCAAGGAACUCAAACAAGGAGUAACCACGGUCGCCCCGGAAACGGUGUGCGUGCCGUUGGUGACAUCUUACCACGAUACAUAACGACUCUCGGCAACGGAUAUCUCGGCUCUCGCAUCGAUGAAGAACGUAGCGAAAUGCGAUACUUGGUGUGAAUUGCAGAAUCCCGCGAAUCAUCGAGUCUUUGAACGCAAGUUGCGCCCGAAGCCAUUCGGCCGAGGGCACGUCUGCCUGGGUGUCACGCAUCGUUGCCCCCACCCCAACACCUCGUAUGAUGUGUACGGUGCGGGGCAGAAAUUGGCCUCCCGUGUGCGUUGCUCGCGGUUAGCCUAAAAGCGAGUCCUGGGCGACGAGCGCCACGACAAUCGGUGGUUGACAAAACCCUCGUGCCCCGUCGUGCGUUGCUCGACGCCGUGAAGGCUCUCCUCGACCCUAUUGCGUCGUUCUUGCGACUCUACCAUCGCGACCCCAGGUCA
This 718-nucleotide unclassified non-coding RNA is filed under the name Carya illinoinensis. RNAcentral's name for it is "partial contains small subunit ribosomal RNA, internal transcribed spacer 1, 5.8S ribosomal RNA, and internal transcribed spacer 2". The stretch from base 328 to 483 matches the Rfam family "5.8S ribosomal RNA". Lineage: Eukaryota; Viridiplantae; Streptophyta; Magnoliopsida; Fagales; Juglandaceae. The record is from RNAcentral.